CCGACGAACGCKGGGCGGCGGUGCCUAACACAUGCAAGUCGAACGGUAACAGGGACUUCGGUCCGCUGACGAGUGGCGCACGGGUGAGUAACGCGUGGAUAUCUGCCUAUUAGUGGGGGACAACUACAGGAAACUGUAGCUAAUACCGCAUAAUCUCUACGGAGCAAAGCAGGGGACCUUUCGGGGCCUUGCGCUGAUAGAUGAGUCCGCGUCUGAUUAGCUAGUUGGUAAGGUAAAAGCUUACCAAGGCGAUGAUCAGUAACUGGUUUGAGAGGAUGAUCAGUCACACUGGAACUGAGACACGGUCCAGACUCCUACGGGAGGCAGCAGUGGGGAAUAUUGCACAAUGGGGGAAACCCUGAUGCAGCGACGCCGCGUGCGGGAAGAAGGCCUUCGGGUUGUAAACCGCUUUCAAUUGGGAAGAAGAGAUGAGUACUAAUAAUGCUCUGAUUUGACGGUACCUUUAGAAGAAGCACCGGCUAAUUUCGUGCCAGCAGCCGCGGUAAUACGAAAGGUGCAAGCGUUGUUCGGAUUUACUGGGCGUAAAGAGAUCGUAGGUGGUUUAUUAAGUCGGAUGUGAAAAUCCCGGGGCUCAACCCCGGAACUGCAUUCGAUACUGAUAGGCUAGAGUUUGGGAGGGGGUWAGCGGGAAWUCCCGGUGUGUAGCAGUGAAAUGCGUAGAAUAUACGGAGGAACACCUGAGGGCGAAGGCGGCUUACUGGACCAAUACUGACACUGAGGAUCGAAAGCGUGGGUAGCAAACAGGAUUAGAUACCCUGGUAGUCCACGCCCUAAACGAUGUCAACUAGCCGUAGCGGGUAUCGACCCCCUGCUGUGGCGAAGCUAACGCGAUAAGUUGACCGCYKGGGGAGUACGGUCGCAAGAUGA
RNAcentral lists this ribosomal RNA (888 nucleotides) under uncultured Zetaproteobacteria bacterium. RNAcentral's name for it is "bacterial SSU rRNA". It matches the Rfam family "Bacterial small subunit ribosomal RNA", at positions 25 to 896 of the family's 1533-position model. Lineage: Bacteria; Pseudomonadati; Pseudomonadota; Candidatius Mariprofundia. The record is from RNAcentral.